This 270-nucleotide ribosomal RNA is filed under the name uncultured bacterium. RNAcentral's name for it is "partial 16S ribosomal RNA". It matches the Rfam family "Bacterial small subunit ribosomal RNA", at positions 29 to 308 of the family's 1533-position model. The record is from RNAcentral.
AACGAACGCUGGCGGCAUGCUUAACACAUGCAAGUCGAACGCUCUGUCGGGCUUCGGUCCGGCAGGGAGUGGCGCACGGGUGAGUAGCGCGUGGGAACCUGCCCUGGAGUGGGGGAUAACCGAGGGAAACUUCGGCUAAUACCGCAUGCGCCCCGGGAAACCGGGGGAAAGAUUUAUCGCUCUAGGAGGGGCCCGCGUCGGAUUAGCUUGUUGGUGGGGUAACGGCCUACCAAGGCACCGAUCCGUAGCUGGUCUGAGAGGAUGAUCAGC